RNAcentral lists this long non-coding RNA (790 nucleotides) under Brachypodium distachyon (stiff brome). RNAcentral describes it as "long non-coding RNA (BDIS_LNC003961)". The record is from RNAcentral. Lineage: Eukaryota; Viridiplantae; Streptophyta; Magnoliopsida; Poales; Poaceae.
CUAUGAUAAGUUUAUUAACUAUGGACCAUCAUCCGAACAAUUCCCCACAUCUGAAAAAUUAUAGAUGUUGAAGAGGAGGAAGAAGAGCACAGCAGCAAGCAAAUAAAUAACCUGCUUGCCAUGCGCCACUAGUUCCUAUCCUCUUCAGCCUUCAUCGCUCUCAGCCUCUCACCGCACACCCGGAACAAUAUACACAAGCCUACACUGCGGCCAUUAUUAUAUAAGAAAGUCGCUCCGCUUACUUGGUCAUGUACAGGUACCGGCCGGUCUCAUUCGUCCCCUAUGAACUCGAACUCGUCCUCCCGGAGGUGGACGAAGAGCUUGACCGGCUUGGGCUGGCCCUCGACGCUGACCUGGAACUCCACCUUGAAGGGGAAGUUGGCGGUGAUGCGCUUCCCUUUCCAGACGCCCACGUACUGCUUGAUGACGCCCUCCAUGCCCUGGAUGUCUAGGUCGGGCGCCUUCACGACGUGAUAGACGCGGAGGGGAGCCGUGACGCGCACGCGCUUGCCGACCUUUGGCGCGUGCUCUGCCUCCUCUUCGGCCACGUCGGGCGACGACGACGAUACGUCGCUGGUGAGGGAGACCUGGCGCGCGGUGCGGAGGCGCGAGGCGCGGGGCAGCGGCCCGAGGCCGCGGCCGGCCGUGGAGGCGGGGCAAGGGAGGCGGCGGAGGAAGAGGACAGAGGAGGUGGAAGUGGAGGGAGGCGCCAUGGUCGCGGUGGUCGUUGCCAUUGCGGCGAUUGGAAUGUGGAGUGUGCGGGGAGGAGCCGGGUCGAACAGGUGGUGGG